AAAUGAGCAUCCCGUUAAGCUCUUGGGAGCCUUGUGUUAGCGCCGUGCCUCUUGACAGGCACGGGUGACUUCAUUACUUCCUGGGUAUAAAAUUCCCGUCAUUGAAAAUCUAGGUGCUACGUUAGACCAGUUUGAUGCUAUUGAUUUUUCUGACAAUGAGAUCAGGAAACUGGAUGGUUUUCCUUUGUUGAGAAGACUGAAAACAUUGUUAGUGAACAACAACAGAAUAUGCCGUAUAGGUGAGGGACUUGAUCAGGCUCUGCCCUGUCUGACAGAACUCAUUCUCACCAAUAAUAGUCUCGUGGAACUGGGUGAUCUGGACCCUCUGGCAUCUCUUAAAUCGCUGACUUACCUAAGUAUCCUAAGAAAUCCGGUAACCAAUAAGAAGCAUUACAGAUUGUAUGUGAUUUAUAAAGUUCCGCAAGUCAGAGUACUGGAUUUCCAGAAAGUGAAACUAAAAGUAAGUAGUAAUCUGUUGCUUGUGAGUCAUUAUAGAGUUGUGUGUUUUUCUUUAUAUUUUUAUUACUGAUUAUUAAAAUUGUCUAAAUGAGUAAAUUUUACCAUUAGUUUGUAAUAAAAGUGGGAGGGAAAAUGUUACAUCACAUUUUUUUCUAAUAGCAGAGUUUACGAUAGAACUUUUAAGUUGGAGCUCUUUUAUGUAAUGCUGGCUAUUCCGAA
Molecule: small RNA, 678 nt
Filed under: Pan troglodytes (chimpanzee)
Lineage: Eukaryota; Metazoa; Chordata; Mammalia; Primates; Hominidae
Description: retained intron
Source: RNAcentral